GCGGGGCAUCAUGGAUAUCCUUUCGGGGAGAUCUGAUGGCGACCGGCGUACGGGUGAGUAACGCGUAUCCAACCUGCCCUUUACUAUGGGACAGCCCGUCGAAAGGCGGAUUAAUACCGUAUGUUGUCAUGUUGAUGCAUAUUUUCAUGACCAAAGGCUUCGGCCGGUAAAGGAUGGGGAUGCGUCUGAUUAGCUUGCCGGCGGGGUAACGGCCCACCGGGGCGACGAUCAGUAGGGGUUCUGAGAGGAAGGUCCCCCACAUUGGAACUGAGACACGGUCCAAACUCCUACGGGAGGCAGCAGUGAGGAAUAUUGGUCAAUGGGCGCGAGCCUGAACCAGCCAAGUAGCGUGCAGGAUGACGGCCCUAUGGGUUGUAAACUGCUUUUAUACGGGGAUAAAGUAUGCCACGUGUGGUAUAUUGCAGGUACCGUAUGAAUAAGGACCGGCUAAUUCCGUGCCAGCAGCCGCGGUAAUACGGAAGGUCCGGGCGUUAUCCGGA
Molecule: ribosomal RNA, 500 nt
Filed under: uncultured bacterium
Lineage: Bacteria
Description: bacterial SSU rRNA
Rfam family: Bacterial small subunit ribosomal RNA
Source: RNAcentral